UACGUAGGGUGCGAGCGUUGUCCGGAAUUACUGGGCGUAAAGAGCUCGUAGGUGGUUUGUCGCGUUGUUCGUGAAAACCUGAGGCUUAACCUUGGGCGUGCGGGCGAUACGGGCAGACUGGAGUACUGCAGGGGAGACUGGAAUUCCUGGUGUAGCGGUGGAAUGCGCAGAUAUCAGGAGGAACACCGAUGGCGAAGGCAGGUCUCUGGGCCACUACUGACGCUGAGAAGCGAAAGCAUGGGGAGCGAACAGG
This 253-nucleotide ribosomal RNA is filed under the name uncultured bacterium. Its description in RNAcentral is "partial 16S ribosomal RNA". It matches the Rfam family "Bacterial small subunit ribosomal RNA", at positions 524 to 776 of the family's 1533-position model. The record is from RNAcentral.